GACGGGGCCCGCACAAGCGGUGGAGCAUGUGGUUUAAUUCGAUGCAACGCGAAGAACCUUACCUGGGCUUGACAUCCCAAGAAUCCCCUGGAAACAGGGGAGUGCCCUUCGGGGAGCUUGGAGACAGGUGCUGCAUGGCUGUCGUCAGCUCGUGUCGUGAGAUGUUGGGUUAAGUCCCGCAACGAGCGCAACCCUUGCCUUUAGUUGCCAUCAUUCAGUUGGGCACUCUAGAGGGACUGCCGGUGUCAAACCGGAGGAAGGUGGGGAUGACGUCAAGUCCUCAUGGCCUUUAUGCCCAGGGCUACACACGUGCUACAAUGGGCGGUACAAAGAGCAGCGAGCUCGCGAGAGUAAGCAAAUCUCAAAAAGCCGUCCUCAGUUCGGAUUGGAGUCUGCAACUCGACUCCAUGAAGUUGGAAUCGCUAGUAAUCGCGGGUCAGCAUGCCGCGGUGAAUACGUUCCCGGGCCUU
Molecule: ribosomal RNA, 470 nt
Filed under: uncultured Syntrophaceae bacterium
Lineage: Bacteria; Pseudomonadati; Thermodesulfobacteriota; Syntrophia; Syntrophales; Syntrophaceae
Description: bacterial SSU rRNA
Rfam family: Bacterial small subunit ribosomal RNA
Source: RNAcentral